CCCUACACUCUAAUACACAAAAAAUCAGCGCCGCAACAGUGCAGAACGCACCCCCCUUUUCACGAUCCCAUCUUCAUACUCUCACCCAAACGACCCCCGAAACUUUUUCUUUUUCAGUCGAAGAACAGAAGCAGCAGCGGAGACCUACACCCCUGCUCAUCGUGAAACCAGUUGCACACACACGUAGAUCAGCUUUUAAUUCAAUGCAAAGUGAAAGUUAGUCUAUGCUUUUGGUUUUGAUUUCAAAAUGCCGGAGUUGCUGUUCGAGUAAGGGUGUUGUUCCAGUUCGAAGUCGAAGUCAUCAUUCAAAGGUUGCGUUUGCGGUUCCGGUUUCAAUUUAUGGCUGUUCUUUUAUUGGAUAUUUGGAUUCCAACCUCUGUACCAACUGAUUUCUCAUGCAUUAAAUGAAAGCAAUUCCAAGAUCCUUGAGGUUUAUGGUGGCAAGGAUUCCAACAGUCAUCAUUCUUUGUUGAUUUUCCUUGCAAAUUGGUUCAAGUCUCCGUGUCCUGCUUAAGUCCGUAACUACGAUCGAUCAAUCAAGUUAGUACUUUCUUGUAGAGUUUACUUCUAAUUUGUCUUAUUCCGCCAUUUAGAUUGAAGUUCGUGAAAAACUCUUAGUUUUAGUAAAUGUCUAUUUACUUCUGUAACUAUAGCAGUGAAACACUCCAGAUUUUUGUUAGUUUAAUCUUUGUUGGACCAUCUCGGUUAGAAUAGGUUGAUCUCAGUCAAAGUCUAUGAAACAAAUUUGAUUUAUAAAU
RNAcentral lists this long non-coding RNA (758 nucleotides) under Nicotiana benthamiana. RNAcentral's name for it is "long non-coding RNA (NBEN_LNC008359)". Lineage: Eukaryota; Viridiplantae; Streptophyta; Magnoliopsida; Solanales; Solanaceae. The record is from RNAcentral.